RNAcentral lists this ribosomal RNA (1440 nucleotides) under Lactiplantibacillus plantarum. Its description in RNAcentral is "bacterial SSU rRNA". It matches the Rfam family "Bacterial small subunit ribosomal RNA". Lineage: Bacteria; Bacillati; Bacillota; Bacilli; Lactobacillales; Lactobacillaceae. The record is from RNAcentral.
GUCGAACGAACUCUGGUAUUGAUUGGUGCUUGCAUCAUGAUUUACAUUUGAGUGAGUGGCGAACUGGUGAGUAACACGUGGGAAACCUGCCCAGAAGCGGGGGAUAACACCUGGAAACAGAUGCUAAUACCGCAUAACAACUUGGACCGCAUGGUCCGAGUUUGAAAGAUGGCUUCGGCUAUCACUUUUGGAUGGUCCCGCGGCGUAUUAGCUAGAUGGUGGGGUAACGGCUCACCAUGGCAAUGAUACGUAGCCGACCUGAGAGGGUAAUCGGCCACAUUGGGACUGAGACACGGCCCAAACUCCUACGGGAGGCAGCAGUAGGGAAUCUUCCACAAUGGACGAAAGUCUGAUGGAGCAACGCCGCGUGAGUGAAGAAGGGUUUCGGCUCGUAAAACUCUGUUGUUAAAGAAGAACAUAUCUGAGAGUAACUGUUCAGGUAUUGACGGUAUUUAACCAGAAAGCCACGGCUAACUACGUGCCAGCAGCCGCGGUAAUACGUAGGUGGCAAGCGUUGUCCGGAUUUAUUGGGCGUAAAGCGAGCGCAGGCGGUUUUUUAAGUCUGAUGUGAAAGCCUUCGGCUCAACCGAAGAAGUGCAUCGGAAACUGGGAAACUUGAGUGCAGAAGAGGACAGUGGAACUCCAUGUGUAGCGGUGAAAUGCGUAGAUAUAUGGAAGAACACCAGUGGCGAAGGCGGCUGUCUGGUCUGUAACUGACGCUGAGGCUCGAAAGUAUGGGUAGCAAACAGGAUUAGAUACCCUGGUAGUCCAUACCGUAAACGAUGAAUGCUAAGUGUUGGAGGGUUUCCGCCCUUCAGUGCUGCAGCUAACGCAUUAAGCAUUCCGCCUGGGGAGUACGGCCGCAAGGCUGAAACUCAAAGGAAUUGACGGGGGCCCGCACAAGCGGUGGAGCAUGUGGUUUAAUUCGAAGCUACGCGAAGAACCUUACCAGGUCUUGACAUACUAUGCAAAUCUAAGAGAUUAGACGUUCCCUUCGGGGACAUGGAUACAGGUGGUGCAUGGUUGUCGUCAGCUCGUGUCGUGAGAUGUUGGGUUAAGUCCCGCAACGAGCGCAACCCUUAUUAUCAGUUGCCAGCAUUAAGUUGGGCACUCUGGUGAGACUGCCGGUGACAAACCGGAGGAAGGUGGGGAUGACGUCAAAUCAUCAUGCCCCUUAUGACCUGGGCUACACACGUGCUACAAUGGAUGGUACAACGAGUUGCGAACUCGCGAGAGUAAGCUAAUCUCUUAAAGCCAUUCUCAGUUCGGAUUGUAGGCUGCAACUCGCCUACAUGAAGUCGGAAUCGCUAGUAAUCGCGGAUCAGCAUGCCGCGGUGAAUACGUUCCCGGGCCUUGUACACACCGCCCGUCACACCAUGAGAGUUUGUAACACCCAAAGUCGGUGGGGUAACCUUUUAGGAACCAGCCGCCUAAAGGUGG